UAAAAGCAGUCAGCAAGAAAAUCAUGCAGAAAAGUAUUCAGAACCCACGGAAAUGAUAAAAGGCGUGCAUCCCAGGUUCAUUCACCACAAGUUACGAAUUGGCAAAAAAGGCAGGCUUCAAUUACAAAAUUUUCAAUUCGCCAGUGUGAAUAUCAGGACAGCAAAAUUAUAAUUCAACAAGAGUCUGUUGUAGCUAAAUAAAUGAAAAUGACCAUUUGAUUUCUUGUUUCAACCACUGGUUCAAGAAUACAUAGCACAGAAUGAUAACGUAUCUCAUGAAGAAAAAAAUAAUUUACAAAUCUACUCCCUCCGUCCCAUAAUGUAAGACGUUUUUUGAC
Molecule: long non-coding RNA, 338 nt
Filed under: Hordeum vulgare
Lineage: Eukaryota; Viridiplantae; Streptophyta; Magnoliopsida; Poales; Poaceae
Description: long non-coding RNA (HVUL_LNC019342)
Source: RNAcentral